GAUGAACGCUGGCGGCGUGCUUAACACAUGCAAGUCGAACGGGAAACCUUUUAUUGAAGCUUCGGCAGAUUUCGCAGGUUUCUAGUGGCGGUCGGGAGAUUCCCGCGUGGGUAACAUGCCUUAUACAGGGGGAUACUAGUCAGACAUGACUGCUGAUACCGCAUGAGCGGGCACUACCGCAUGGUCCGGUGCGAAAAACUCUGGUUCGAUAAGAUGGACCCGCGUGGUAUAGGCCUGCUAGGGGGGUAAUGGCUCACCAAGGCGACGAUCCAUAGCCGGCAUGUGAGAGUCAGCGCCCACAUUGGGGCUGGGACGCGGCCCGGACUACUACGCGAGGCAGCAGUGGGGAAUCUUGCACAGUCGGGGGAGUCAUGAAGCUGCGACGACGCGUGAAGGAAGAAGUAUCUCGGUAUGGAAACUUCUAUCAGCAGGGGAGAUAGUGACGGUACCUGAAUAAGAAGCCCCGGCUAACUACGUG
This 478-nucleotide ribosomal RNA is filed under the name uncultured bacterium. RNAcentral's name for it is "partial 16S ribosomal RNA". It matches the Rfam family "Bacterial small subunit ribosomal RNA", at positions 28 to 507 of the family's 1533-position model. The record is from RNAcentral.